UAUGUACUCCCUCCGUUCCAAAUUACUUGUCACAAGUAUGUAUGUAUCUAGAUGUAUUUUAGUUCUAGAUACAUCCAUUUCUGCGACGAGUAAUUUGGAACGGAGGAAGUAUAAA
This is a non-coding RNA of Triticum urartu, 115 nucleotides long. Lineage: Eukaryota; Viridiplantae; Streptophyta; Magnoliopsida; Poales; Poaceae. The record is from Rfam.